RNAcentral lists this ribosomal RNA (465 nucleotides) under Vreelandella stevensii. Its description in RNAcentral is "partial 16S ribosomal RNA". It matches the Rfam family "Bacterial small subunit ribosomal RNA", at positions 338 to 795 of the family's 1533-position model. The record is from RNAcentral. Lineage: Bacteria; Pseudomonadati; Pseudomonadota; Gammaproteobacteria; Oceanospirillales; Halomonadaceae.
CCUACGGGGGGCAGCAGUGGGGAAUAUUGGACAAUGGGGGCAACCCUGAUCCAGCCAUGCCGCGUGUGUGAAGAAGGCCCUCGGGUUGUAAAGCACUUUCAGUGAGGAAGAACGCCUGGUGGUUAAUACCCAUCAGGAAAGACAUCACUCACAGAAGAAGCACCGGCUAACUCCGUGCCAGCAGCCGCGGUAAUACGGAGGGUGCGAGCGUUAAUCGGAAUUACUGGGCGUAAAGCGCGCGUAGGUGGCUUGAUAAGCCGGUUGUGAAAGCCCCGGGCUCAACCUGGGAACGGCAUCCGGAACUAUCAAGCUAGAGUGCAGGAGAGGAAGGUAGAAUUCCCGGUGUAGCGGUGAAAUGCGUAGAGAUCGGGAGGAAUACCAGUGGCGAAGGCGGCCUUCUGGACUGAUACUGACACUGAGGUGCGAAAGCGUGGGUAGCAAACAGGAUUAGAUACCCGAGUAGUC